This 85-nucleotide transfer RNA is filed under the name Erythrobacter litoralis. RNAcentral describes it as "tRNA-Leu". It matches the Rfam family "tRNA". Rfam says of the family: Transfer RNA (tRNA) molecules are approximately 80 nucleotides in length. The record is from RNAcentral. Lineage: Bacteria; Pseudomonadati; Pseudomonadota; Alphaproteobacteria; Sphingomonadales; Erythrobacteraceae.
GCGGGUGUGGCGGAAUGGUAGACGCCGGGGACUUAAAAUCCCCUGAUCUCUGAUCGUGCGGGUUCGAGUCCCGCCACCCGCACCA